RNAcentral lists this non-coding RNA (23 nucleotides) under Arabidopsis thaliana (thale cress). The record is from RNAcentral. Lineage: Eukaryota; Viridiplantae; Streptophyta; Magnoliopsida; Brassicales; Brassicaceae.
UUUGCUGCUUCAUUAAACUGUGU